GACGGGGAAGUCGCCGGUGUGGCGUUCGAUGUACUCGUAGUACGUCGAACGGUCGAACUCGGCCUCGGCCGGGUUCGGGUCCUGAUCCUGUCCC
This 94-nucleotide transfer RNA is filed under the name Brevibacterium casei. Its description in RNAcentral is "tRNA-Thr(cgt)". Lineage: Bacteria; Bacillati; Actinomycetota; Actinomycetes; Micrococcales; Brevibacteriaceae. The record is from RNAcentral. RNAcentral also lists the same sequence under 1 other name.